GAUGAACGCUGGCGGCGUGCUUAACACAUGCAAGUCGAACGGUGAAGACGAGGCUUGCUCGGGGGGUUCAGUGGCGAACGUGUGUGAAACACGUGAACAACCUGCCUCUCACUCGGGGAUAAGCGCUGGAAACGGUGUAUUAUACGGUAGAAGUGCCUACCCCACGGUGUCUGCGGGUGAGAAGUUUCUUCGGUGGGGGAUGGGCUCGCCGCCUAUCAGCUUGGUGGUGAGGUAAUGGCUCACCAAGGCGUCGACGGGUAGCCGGCCUGAGAGGGUGACCGGCCACACUGGGACUGAGACACGGCCCAGACUCCUACGGGAGGCAGCAGUGGGGAAUAUUGCACAAUGGGCGCAAGCCUGAUGCAGCGACGCCGCGUGAGGGAUGACGGCCUUCGGGUUGUAAACCUCUUUCAGUAGGGAAGAAGCGAAAGUGACGGUACCUGCAGAAGAAGCACCGGCUAACUACGUG
RNAcentral lists this ribosomal RNA (469 nucleotides) under uncultured bacterium. RNAcentral describes it as "partial 16S ribosomal RNA". It matches the Rfam family "Bacterial small subunit ribosomal RNA", at positions 28 to 507 of the family's 1533-position model. The record is from RNAcentral.